Molecule: ribosomal RNA, 218 nt
Filed under: uncultured bacterium
Lineage: Bacteria
Description: partial 16S ribosomal RNA
Rfam family: Bacterial small subunit ribosomal RNA
Source: RNAcentral
GACGAACGCUGGCGGCGUGCUUAACACAUGCAAGUCGAGCGGUAAGGCCCUUUCGGGGGUACGACGAGCGGCGAACGGGUGAGUAACACGUGGGUGACCUGCCCUCAGCUCUGGGAUAAGCCUGGGAAACUGGGUCUAAUACUGGAUAUGACUCCACGGUGCAUGUCGGUGGGGUGGAAAGCCUUGUGCGGCUGAGGAUGGGCCCGCGGCCUAUCAGC